GUGGCUGCGAAGCAGGGCUGGGUGGGCCAACCCCGGGAGGAGGCGGGGCCAACCCUUCGCCUUGGAGGUAGGGAGUAGCCAGGGAGACCCUGAGUGGGCCUGACGCGGGAAGGCGGGACCUGAGGACGGAGUUAAAACCCCGACGGGAAGCCGGGAGUGAGAGGUGCCAGGCCACGCUAAAGUGCUCCUUCAUAGCGUUGUAACAUAUACCACAAUGGAGAAGAGAAUGUUUGAGGGAAAGGAGGAAAUGAGAAAAGAAGAAACCACAAACUUACGUGCAGAAGAUUGAAAGAGACUGAAUCAGCCCAUCAAAUUAUGAGGAACUGAGGAGACCUCAUGGAAUCAUUCGCACUGGGGGGUCUCCUCAUGGGCUCCUUUCUGUGAUGUUUAAGCCAAGCUUUGUGGUUGUCAGGUACAUAGAGCCAUCAUGGAUAAAACCACCCAUAUUGUUGCUGGUCUCCAAGUUUCCACCCCCAUUUUCUUAGAUCCAGCCUAACAGAAGAAAGCAGAGAGAUUUAAAGAAAAAAAAAUCAUAGCUUGCUAUUCCACUGUUAAAAACUUUCAGUGGCUUCUCAUCUAAUUCAGAAUUAAAUCAAGACCCUUGCAAUGGUCAGUGACUAAAAAACUCUACAGCAAUGGACUCCUUAUUAGUUCUCUGACUACAUCCGCAGUGACCGCCCCCAUCCAUGAGAGACAUCCCGAGACACCCAGUGGGUGUCUAAGGCCACAGAUCGCAAUGUGUUUUUUAUUAUACCUAUGUACUUACCACUGAUUAUAAUUUAAACAGCACAGUUUACUUUUCUUUAG
This is a long non-coding RNA of Fukomys damarensis (Damara mole-rat), 807 nucleotides long. RefSeq lists it as uncharacterized. The transcript is spliced from 4 exons. Lineage: Eukaryota; Metazoa; Chordata; Mammalia; Rodentia; Bathyergidae. The record is from RefSeq and is a predicted model, not a curated record.